UCCCCGGUAGCUCAGUUGGUAGAGCAAGUGGCUGUUAACCACUGGGUCAGCGGUUCGAGUCCGUUCCGGGGAGCCA
Molecule: transfer RNA, 76 nt
Filed under: Bacteroidota bacterium
Lineage: Bacteria; Pseudomonadati; Bacteroidota
Also listed under: 2 other names
Description: tRNA-Asn
Rfam family: tRNA
About the family: Transfer RNA (tRNA) molecules are approximately 80 nucleotides in length. Their secondary structure includes four short double-helical elements and three loops (D, anti-codon, and T loops). Further hydrogen bonds mediate the characteristic L-shaped molecular structure. tRNAs have two regions of fundamental functional importance: the anti-codon, which is responsible for specific mRNA codon recognition, and the 3' end, to which the tRNAs corresponding amino acid is attached (by aminoacyl-tRNA synthetases). tRNAs cope with the degeneracy of the genetic code in two manners: having more than one tRNA (with a specific anti-codon) for a particular amino acid; and 'wobble' base-pairing, i.e. permitting non-standard base-pairing at the 3rd anti-codon position.
Source: RNAcentral